AUUGAACGCUGGCGGCAUGCCUUACGCAUGCAAGUCGAACGGUAACAGGUCUUCGGACGCUGACGAGUGGCGAACGGGUGAGUAAUACAUCGGAACGUGCCUAGUAGUGGGGGAUAACUACUCGAAAGAGUGGCUAAUACCGCAUGAGAUCUACGGAUGAAAGCAGGGGAUCGCAAGACCUUGUGCUACUAGAGCGGCCGAUGGCAGAUUAGGUAGUUGGUGGGAUAAAAGCUUACCAAGCCGACGAUCUGUAGCUGGUCUGAGAGGACGAUCAGCCACACUGGGACUGAGACACGGCCCAGACUCCUACGGGAGGCAGCAGUGGGGAAUUUUGGACAAUGGGCGCAAGCCUGAUCCAGCAAUGCCGCGUGCAGGAUGAAGGCCUUCGGGUUGUAAACCGCUUUUGUACGGAACGAAAAGCCCCGGGUUAAUACCCUGGGGUCAUGACGGUACCGUAAGAAUAAGCACCGGCUAACUACGUGCCAGCCGCCGCUGUAA
This 498-nucleotide ribosomal RNA is filed under the name uncultured bacterium. RNAcentral's name for it is "partial 16S ribosomal RNA". It matches the Rfam family "Bacterial small subunit ribosomal RNA", at positions 30 to 523 of the family's 1533-position model. The record is from RNAcentral.